Molecule: ribosomal RNA, 4410 nt
Filed under: Triticum aestivum (bread wheat)
Lineage: Eukaryota; Viridiplantae; Streptophyta; Magnoliopsida; Poales; Poaceae
Description: partial small subunit ribosomal RNA
Source: RNAcentral
AUGGAGCAAUUGGAGAAGAGGAUGGAUGCUGCUGAACAACAAAUCAAAGAGCUGCGUGAAGAUCUUAAUAGGAGAUUUGACCAGCUGGUUGAGAUGAUAAGAAAGGGUGUCCCCCCUGCUACCAAUGAAGGAGAUUCAUCUAAAGAAGAGGAAGAUGUUCAUCAAGGAAGAAGGAGAGGUAAUCUUGGAGCAAGACCGCCACGACAACAUGUUGUUCAACGUGCUUCAAGAAGGCCAAUUUAUGUUGAGGCUUCUGAAGGUGAAGAAUAUGAUGAUGCCCUUGAAGAGCCAAAUCUCUACGCAUAUCGGAGAGCACCCAACCCUACAUAUGCAAGAGAUACAUACAAGGUGAAAGCUGAGAUCCCAAGUUUUAAUGGAAAUGUUGACAUUGAAGGGUGCCUGGAUUGGUUAUAUGAAGUGGAGACUUUCCUUGAGGUCAUGGAGGUUCCGGAAGAUCGUAGAGUUCCUUUGGUCGCAUACAAACUGAAAGGAGGAGCCGGUGCAUGGUGGCAUCGCGUUCAAGAGGAGCGCAGGCUCAGAGGAGAACCUCGUGUUAGAACUUGGCGACAAAUGAAAGGCCUCUUGAAAGGGGGAUUUUUGCCCGCUGAUUAUGACCAGAUCCUAUUUAUCCAAUUUCAAAAUUGUGCUCAAGGAAAUAGGACUGUUUCAGAUUACACGGAGGAGUUUCUAAGGCUACAAGUGAGGUGCAACCUUGCUGAAACUGAAGAGCAACAAGUUGCAAGGUACAUCAAUGGUCUCAAUGAUGCUAUUCAAGAUCGAUUGAUGAUGCAACAAAUCUGGUCUGUUGAUCAAGCACAAGCUCUAGCCUUAAAGGCCGAGAGGUUUGUGAGGAUGAGAAAGACAACUAAGGCUCCAUAUCCUCCAUAUCCUCAUACCGAAGGCUCAUCUAGGAGCCAACCUAAUAGAGUGGAAGAAAAGACCACUCCACCAAAGACAAAACAGCCCAUCCCGAAGCAAACUAGAGGCAAGGGUAAGGCAAAUGAAGGCCCAAAGUGCUAUAAAUGUGGUAAAGAGGGACACAUAUCCAGCGGCUGCCCACUAAGGAAAUUUGUUAACACGACUAUCCAUGAUGGUGAAAGCGAUGAGGAAGAAUACGAAUCUGAAGAUGUAGACGAACAAGAGGUUUGUCAAGAAGAAGGUGACGAGGUGGUAUGUGUGAUCCAGCGUGUCCUAUGUUCCACACCACAACUCGAUGACACACAACGGAAGAAAAUAUUUGAGAGCAAAUGCACGGUGAAUGGCAAGGUAUGCAAACUAGUGAUUGAUAGUUGUAGCUGCGAUAAUCUUAUCUCCCAGAAGUUGGUGGACCAUUUAAAGCUUGAAACCCAUGAUCAUCCAAAUCCCUACACUAUUGGAUGGAUCAAGAAAGGAGUAAAUAUGAUGAUCACCAAACAAUGCAACCUGCCACUUUCUUUGGGUAAGCAUUAUCACUCAAAUGUGUUGUGUGAUGUGGUUGACAUGGAUGCCAGCCAUGUUCUUCUUGGGAGGCCUUGGCAAUUUGAUGUGGAUACUACACACAAGGGCAAGGAAAAUUCUUACUCUUUCAUUUGGAACAAGAGAAGGAUCAUUAUCUUACCAAACAAACCCGAAGGUAAUACCUCUAAGGAGGAGGGGAAAACUAUGUUAACUAUCUCCCAUACCUCUCAUGAGUUUAUGGAAGACUUGAAGGAGGCAGAUUUGUGUGCUGCACUUGUUGUAAAGGGAGAAGAGCACCUGACUGUUGAAAUUCCAGCAAAGGUACGUGGUUUAUUGGCAGAAUUUCAGAACAUACUUGGGGAGCCACAUGGCUUGCCACCGAUGAGAGGAAUUCAACAUAGAAUUGACUUAAUUCCGGGAGCAAGUCUUCCUAAUCUUCCACACUAUCGAAUGAGCCCAAAGGAGCAUGGUAUAUUGAAGGAGAAAGUGGAGGAAUUGUUGCAAAAGGUGCACAUUCGAGAAAGUAUUAGCCCAUGUGCUGUACCAGCCCUACUCGCGCCAAAGAAAGAUGGAUCUUGGCGCAUGUGUACGGACAGUAGAGCCGUUAACAAGAUCACCGUAAGGUAUAGAUUCCCUAUUCUCCGUCUGGAUGAUAUGUUGGAUCAGCUUAGUGGAGCAAGAGUGUUCACAAAGCUAGAUUUAAGAAGUGGAUAUCAUCAAAUCCGUAUAAGACCCGGGGAUGAAUGGAAGACCGCCUUCAAGACAAAGGAAGGGUUGUUUGAAUGGCUAGUCAUGCCAUUUGGACUCUCAAAUGCACCAAGUACCUUUAUGCACUUAAUGAAUCAAGUCCUUAGACCCUUCUUAUCCCACUUUGUUGUGGUCUAUUUCGAUGACAUCUUGAUCUAUAGCAAGGAUGAGGAUGAACACUUUGAUCACAUUCGGAAGGUGCUAGAAGUACUAAGGGAAAAUGAGCUCUACGUCAACUUGAAGAAAUGUGUUUUCCUGCAAACACAACUUCUUUUCCUAGGAUUCGUCAUAACAUGUGACGGCAUUCGUGUUGAUGAUUCUAAGGUUGAAGCAAUCCGAGAAUGGCCAACUCCUAAGACCAUUUCUGAGGUAAGAAGCUUUCAUGGCCUUGCAACUUUCUAUAGGCGAUUUCUUAAGAAUUUCAGCACUAUCAUGGCACCAAUUACCGAGUGUUUGAAGAAAGGAAAGUUCCAAUGGGCAGAAGCAGCUGAAGCUAGCUUCAAUGAGAUUAAACAAAAGCUAUCACAAGCUCCUGUCUUGGUACUACCUGAUUUCAACAAGACUUUUGAGUUGGAGUGUGAUGCAAGUGGAGUAGGCAUUGGAGCUGUCCUAUCUCAAGAAAGGAAGCCCAUUGCUUUCUUUAGUGAGAAGUUAAGUGAAGCUAGACAGAAAUGGAGUACCUAUCAGCAAGAAUUAUACGCCGUUUUCAGAGCGUUGAAAACUUGGGAAGUCUAUUUGCUGCCUAAAGAGUUCAUUGUUUAUAGCGACCAUCAAUCCUUGAAGCAUUUUAGAAAUCAAAAGCAUGUUGACCGCAUGCUAGCAAGAUGGGCAGCAUAUCUUGAGAGGUUUAACUAUCUCAUCGUGCAUAAAUCUGGAAUAACUAAUAGAGUGGCCGAUGCUUUGAGUCGUCGUGCAUGCCUCUUGACUUCUUUUGAAGCUGAACUUCCGGGCAUGGGUCAAAUAAAGGAGUUGUAUGAGGGUGACAAAGACUUUGGCCAUGUUUGGGUAAAGCACGCAAGGGGCCAACCAUUAGGUGAUGACUAUUUGAUGCAAGAUGGAUAUCUCUUCAAAAAUGAUCGUUUGUGCAUUCCAAGAAGUUCUCUACGUGACAAGCUGGUUAGAGAGCUCCAUUCAAGUGAUCUUAGUGGCCAUGUUGGACGGAACAAGACUAUCGCUAACCUGGAAGCUUGCUACUUUUGGCCACAACUAAAGAGAGAUGCUGGAAAGUUCGUUCAACGGUGCCCCGUAUGUCAGACCUGCAAAGGCCAAGUCCAGAACACAGGGUUAUACAUGCCUUUGCAUGUUCCUGUUGCUCCAUGGGAGGACAUUUCUAUGGACUUCGUCUUGGGCUUGCCAAGAACAAGACGAGGAAGUGAUGUUGUAUUUGUGGUCGUGGAUAGAUUCUCUAAGAUGGCUCAUUUCAUCCCAUGCCGCAAGACAACGGAUGCUCAUCAUGUGGCAAACCUAUUCUUUCGAGAAGUGGUCAGACUUCAUGGAGUUCCAAGGUCCAUUGUCUCAGACCAUGAUAGCAAGUUUCUUGCUGCAUUUUGGCUCACUUUGUGGAAGCAAUUCAACACUGAAUUGAAAUUUUCUAGCACUGCUCAUCCACAAACAGACGGACAAACGGAAGUGGUGAACAAGUUUUUGGGUAAUCUGAUCCGUUGCAUUUGUGGAGAAAGAAAGGGGCAAUGGGAUUUGGCUUUAUCUCUUGCAGAGUUCUCCUACAAUAACUCCAAGCAUAGAUCCACAGGAAGGAGCCCUUUUUCCAUUGUCUACACUAAAGUUCCAACACAUGUGGUGGACCCGGUGAAGCUGCCAUCAAGGGGAAACUCAAAAUCAGCAUUGUCCUUUGCUGAUAAUUGCACCGAGUUAUUUGAAGAGAUUCGCGGCGCUUUGGAAGCACAAAAUCAGAAAUAUAAACAACUUGCUGAUUGCAAAAAGAGGCCAAAAUCAUUCCAAGUCGGUGAUAAGGUGAUCGUCUACCUCCGAAAAGAGAGGCUGCCUUUAGGUGUUAAAGGGAAACUUAGGCAGCGAAGGUAUGGGCCCUUCUCUAUCAUGAGGAAGAUAAAUGAUAAUGCUUAUGUGAUAGAUCUUCCAAGUGACAUGGGUAUCUCCAACACUUUCAAUGUUGCGGACUUGACUCUCUACCAUCCAGAAGAAGCGCUCUAUGAAGAUAACUCGAGGGCGAGUUCCAAACAACCAGGGGAGAAUGAUGAGGAACACUAG